Transfer RNA from Celeribacter baekdonensis B30, 74 nucleotides. It matches the Rfam family "tRNA". From Rfam's summary of the family: Transfer RNA (tRNA) molecules are approximately 80 nucleotides in length. Their secondary structure includes four short double-helical elements and three loops (D, anti-codon, and T loops). Further hydrogen bonds mediate the characteristic L-shaped molecular structure. tRNAs have two regions of fundamental functional importance: the anti-codon, which is responsible for specific mRNA codon recognition, and the 3' end, to which the tRNAs corresponding amino acid is attached (by aminoacyl-tRNA synthetases). tRNAs cope with the degeneracy of the genetic code in two manners: having more than one tRNA (with a specific anti-codon) for a particular amino acid; and 'wobble' base-pairing, i.e. permitting non-standard base-pairing at the 3rd anti-codon position. NCBI's taxonomy places the organism in Bacteria, Pseudomonadati, Pseudomonadota, Alphaproteobacteria, Rhodobacterales, Roseobacteraceae. The record is from Rfam.
GCACCCGUAGCUCAGCUGGAUAGAGCGCUGCCCUCCGAAGGCAGAGGCCACUGGUUCGAAUCCAGUCGGGUGCA